GAAAUGCGAUAAGUAGUGUGAAUUGCAGAAUUCAGUGAAUCAUCGAAUCUUUGAACGCACAUUGCGCCCCUCGGCAUUCCGUGGGGCAUACCUGUUCGAGCGUCAUCUACACCCUCAAGCUCUGCUUGGUGUUGGGCGUCUGUCCCGCCUCCGCGCGCGGACUCGCCCCAAAUGCAUUGGCAGCGGUUCCUUGCCCCCCUCUUUGCGCAGCACAUUGCCAUUCGAGGCGGCGGCGGCCCGCGUCCAACAAGCUCAACCCCCCCGUCUUUGACCUCGGAUCAGGUAGGGAUACCCGCUGAACUUAAGC
Molecule: unclassified non-coding RNA, 307 nt
Filed under: plant metagenome
Description: partial contains 5.8S ribosomal RNA, internal transcribed spacer 2, and large subunit ribosomal RNA
Rfam family: 5.8S ribosomal RNA (bases 1-105)
Source: RNAcentral